Molecule: long non-coding RNA, 2580 nt
Organism: Dicentrarchus labrax (European seabass)
Lineage: Eukaryota; Metazoa; Chordata; Actinopteri; Moronidae
Exons: 2
Source: RefSeq, a predicted model, not a curated record
GGACUGUCAGGUUUUAGAGAUAAACUUCGCCAUAUUUCUAGAUAAGAGAGCCGCUCCAUCCAAAGUGGGAUGGAUGCCGUCUCUCCUAAUCAGACCAGGUUUUCCCCAAAAAGGCUUCCAAAGCCCACAUCGUUUUCUGGACCCCACCUCGACAGCCAGCGGUGGAAUGACGACAUGCGGCUAUACAUGUCAUCGCUGGUCACACUGGGGAGGGGUCCAGAGAAAACUACGGAGUCCGACAUAGUUUUAGCAUAAUUACACACCGACUCCACAUUAACUUUAGUGACCUCCGAUUGGCGUAAACGGAUGUCGUUACCGCCGACGUGGAUAACAAUCUUACUGUAUUUACGUUUAUCUUUAGCCAGCAGUUUUAAAUAUGAUUCAAUGUCGCCGCUCUGGCCCCAGGGAAACAUUUAACUAUGGAGCUGUCAAUUACCAGAGUUGGUUCCUCAGCGGGUGUGUCGCUGAGUGGGGACAAUGUAUUAGAAACAUGAAUGGGUUGGUGGUGACCUGUGGGCUUCGGCGUUUUAGUCUUCCUUCGCUCAGUCACCCAGCCUCCCUGUCUGCCCGGCUGCUCGGGAACUACCGGAGGAACUACCGGAGGAACUACCGGAGGAACUACUGGGGGCUGACUAACUAUAGCGGCUAAAGAUAUCUCCGUGCUGCGGUACCGUUCCUCUAACUCACUAAGCCUCGCCUCCAGCGCAGUAAAUAAACUACAUUUAAUACAGAUACCAUUAUCUUUAAAGGAGGCAGAGGAAUAACUAAACAUCUGACACACUGAGCAGGACAGAGGAGAGGGAGAAGCCAUAGCUAACUGCUAAUGCUAAUGAAGCGAUGAAGUGAAAAGUCGCUAAAAGAAGGAGAAACUCCGAGUGCUUAGGUAGAACUAAUCUACGUUUAAAUGUUAAGCGGGAAAAUAACCGCUGUAACGAGUAAAACUAAUUUAUAUUUAGCGUUCACUGACAGAGCUACAGCACCAAACAGUGUACAGAGCAGGAAGGAAACCGGAAAUGAGUCAGUACGCUUGCCGUAGCACGUCCUCACUACUACUGUAAACACAAGACAGAGACAAUGGCGACGAGCCAGGGAAAUCCAAAGAUAACACACAUAGCACCAGAUGGUAGAAUCUCCACCCCUCGUCCACUUGGUAUCUCGACUCCAAGGAUGGUGUUGUUGGGGUAGCCACAACCUGGAACUGGAAGGAGUCCGUCUGGCUCCAUCAUUGUUUUGUCUGAUACUGACCUCGGAGGUCGUGUUUACCGCUAUCUCUCCAAAAGAAUGUCAUGUUAUAUCUGCAACUACCCACACUCUUCUCCCUUAUACUGUGCCUGCUAUUCAUAUUCAUUAGUAACUUAUAAUUCUAUAACACAUCAUACAAACAUCUAAUAUUCAUUACUUUAUUUCUGUUAUUAGUAUUCCCUUAACAGCCCUUUAUCAAUGUAAGCAUAAUCAAUGUAAGCAGACAUAUUUCUAUUCUAGUUAAUAAUCAUACAGGUAAAAAUAUAUAGAGUAUAAAUCACAGAAUAUCGCAACACUAUGGACACUUUGACUUGUGACCUUUUGACAAAUUUAUGUUGUCGGACAAAUGUGCUGCUUUCCCCUCCUCUCUUUCAGCACUUUCCUGUAAAAUAUAUGUGUUCAACCAUUCAGGAUGUACAAAAUAUCCUUGUCAUGCCUUCUACUUCUUCUGGGUUUAUGAAAAGACACCUAAAACACCACUCUGUUUAACCACAGUAAUGAUGUGGUCCUAAGGGAAUGUGGAAAUCAAGACUGAGGUUUUAUACACUCCAGGGAUAAUGUCCCCCUCUGCCGGAGAGCUAAAACUCACAUGGAGAAAUAAGCUGUGCACUCUCGUCGUCGCCAAGUGCUUGCUCGUGGUGGGGACUGUUGGGGACUGUUGGGUCUCUGUAAAUACUUUUAUAAGGAGUAUGGUCUAGACCUACUCUAAUUUGAAAAGUGUCCCGAGAUAACUUCUGUUAUGAAUUGUUACGUCACUGUGAGGGCCAUUCCAAAACCUUCAGCUGGUGACGCUUUCAAGUCCAUGAUUCAUUUAAAGAUAUUUUUAGGAUCCUUAGGUAGAAGCGUUUUUCUUUCAGCUUCAGGUUCCCCUCCCUUUUUUUUCCUUUUUUUUUAACAGAUGGUGUGAUUGCUUCCAGAACCGAAGACUCAGAGAACACCCAAGUAUGAGAAAUCCCUACCAUAAAAACAGAAUGAACAGCACUACGACAUAAAAUUAUGCCUUUUUUUUUUUAUCUUAAACAGCUUUAAAUACCUUAUGGCAAGCUACCCAUACAGUUAACAAAGAAACCUUGAGUUGAAAGGUGCUCUGUGCUUCACAGUUUCACUUAAGGUGCCAAGUGACAUUACAUCACAGUGGGCGAGGGCGGUGUGGGCAGAGUCUGAUGGCCUGGGGGAAGAAACUGUUAGAGUAUUUCUGUUAGUGUUGGGUGAUACCGCAAGAAUUGGUAUUGCUCCAAUACUGAUCGAGUACAGCCUGUUUAUGAACUAAACAAUUUGCCGUCGUUUCAUUUGUAACCUGAAAAUAAAGCUACACAGCACUCCUCUUUCUCUCCGCCA